UACGGAAGGCAGCAGUGGGGAAUAUUGCACAAUGGGCGAAAGCCUGAUGCAGCUAUGCCGCGUGUAUGAAGAAGGCCUUAGGGUUGUAAAGUACUUUCAUCGGGGAGGAAAAAACAAAACUAAUAAUUUUAUUUCUUGACGUUACCCGAAAAAGAAGCACCGGCUAACUCCGUGCCAGCAGCCGCGGUAAUACGGAGGGUGCUAGCGUUAAUCAGAAUUACUGGGCGUAAAGAGCACGUAGGUGGUUUUUUUAAGUCAGAUGUGAAAUCCCUGGGCUUAACCUAGGAACUGCAUUUUGAAACUGAAAUACUAGAGUAUCGUAGAGGGAGGUAGAAUUCUAGGUGUAGCGGUGAAAUGCGUAGAUAUCUGGAGGAAUACCUGUGGCGAAAGCGGCCUCCUAAACGAAUACUGACACUGAGGGUGCGAAAGCGUGGGGAGCAAACAGGGAUUAGAUACC
Molecule: ribosomal RNA, 457 nt
Filed under: uncultured bacterium
Lineage: Bacteria
Description: bacterial SSU rRNA
Rfam family: Bacterial small subunit ribosomal RNA
Source: RNAcentral